AUGGAUGAGGACGGGAAAAAGAGAAAGAAGAGGGAUGCACCUGAUGCAUCUGAAAACAAACCGAAGGACCGCGUCAGGAACUUCUUCACAGAACUGCGUGCUCUGCUGCAAAGUCACGGUUAUCCUACGAAAGGACGCAAAGCUAAAACAUCGCAGAGUGCUGCUGCCCUUUCACAGAAGAAUGGAGGCAAAGUCAAUCCAGAAGCCUCUAGAGAGAAAUCUAAUUGGAUUCCAUCACGUCAUAGCUAUGAAGAUCUCAACCAGAUGAUACUACAAUCAUUAGAUGGCUUUAUGAUAAUAGUGAGCACAGAUGGAGUGAUAAUUUUCGUGACUGACAACAUCUCUUCUCUCCUUGGCCAUUUACCAGAUGACAUCAUGGGUAAAAAUUUAUUAAGCCUUCUGCCUGAUGAAGAGAAACAUGAAGUCUACCAAAAGAUUUCUGUCAAACUUCCUUUGUCAAGCUCAG
Orcinus orca (killer whale) is the source of this 466-nucleotide long non-coding RNA. RefSeq lists it as uncharacterized. The transcript has 5 exons. Lineage: Eukaryota; Metazoa; Chordata; Mammalia; Artiodactyla; Delphinidae. The record is from RefSeq and is a predicted model, not a curated record.